This 717-nucleotide ribosomal RNA is filed under the name uncultured bacterium. RNAcentral's name for it is "bacterial SSU rRNA". It matches the Rfam family "Bacterial small subunit ribosomal RNA", at positions 1 to 715 of the family's 1533-position model. The record is from RNAcentral.
CCCUUAGAGUUUGAUCCUGGCUCAGAUUGAACGCUGGCGGCAUGCUUUACACAUGCAAGUCGAGCGGGGUGGAGGGGCAACUCUUCAUUCAGCGGCGGACGGGUGAGUAACACAUCGGAACGUAUCCUCUAGUGGGGGACAACCCAGCGAAAGCUGGGCUAAUACCGCAUAUGCUCUGAGGAGGAAAGCAGGGGACCUGAGAGGGCCUUGUGCUGGAGGAGCGGCCGAUGUCCGAUCAGCUAGUUGGUGGGGUAAAGGCCUACCAAGGCGACGAUCGGUAGCUGGUCUGAGAGGAUGAUCAGCCACACUGGGACUGAGACACGGCCCAGACUCCUACGGGAGGCAGCAGUGGGGAAUUUUGGACAAUGGGGGCAACCCUGAUCCAGCCAUGCCGCGUGCGGGAAGAAGGCCUUCGGGUUGUAAACCGCUUUUGGUCGGGAAGAAAGGGCCCUGGAUAAUACCCAGGGUUGUUGACGGUACCGGCAGAAUAAGCACCGGCUAACUACGUGCCAGCAGCCGCGGUAAUACGUAGGGUGCGAGCGUUAAUCGGAAUUACUGAGCGUAAAGCGUGCGCAGGCGGUUGGUUAAGUCUGAUGUGAAAGCCCCGGGCUCAACCUGGGAAUGGCAUUGGAAACUGGCUGGCUAGAGUGUGGCAGAGGGGGGUGGAAUUCCGCGUGUAGCAGUGAAAUGCGUAGAGAUGCGGAGGAACACCGAUGG